GAUCAUGGCUCGGGAUGAACACUAGCGACAGGCUUAACACAUGCAAGUCGAGGGGCAGCACAGGGUAGCAAUACUUGGGUGGCGACCGGCGCACGGGUGAGUAACGCGUAUGCAACUUACCUAUCAGAGGGGGAUAGCCCGGCGAAAGUCGGAUUAAUACCCCAUGAAACAGGGGUCCCGCAUGGGAAUAUUUGUUAAAGAUUCAUCGCUGAUAGAUAGGCAUGCGUUCCAUUAGG
This 236-nucleotide ribosomal RNA is filed under the name uncultured bacterium. RNAcentral describes it as "partial 16S ribosomal RNA". It matches the Rfam family "Bacterial small subunit ribosomal RNA", at positions 15 to 245 of the family's 1533-position model. The record is from RNAcentral.